RNAcentral lists this small RNA (50 nucleotides) under Arabidopsis thaliana (thale cress). Its description in RNAcentral is "ATSL172010". Lineage: Eukaryota; Viridiplantae; Streptophyta; Magnoliopsida; Brassicales; Brassicaceae. The record is from RNAcentral.
UCUAAUAGGAGGUCAAAGAGCUGAGGAGAUCAAUGCAUUGUGUGACCCAU